UAGAGUUUGAUCCUGGCUCANAGUGAACGCUGGCGGCGUGCUUAACACAUGCNAGUCNAACGANAACGGGUUAUAGCUUGCUAUAACUGUCAGCUAAGUGGCGCACGGGUGAGUAAUAUAUAGGUANUGUGCCUUAGAGAAGAGAAUAAUUGUUGGAAACGACUUGUAAUGCUCUAUAUGCCCUUAAUACAAAAGUAUGCAGGGGAAAUAUUUAUAGCUCUAAGAUCGGCCUGUACGGUAUCAGCUUGUUGGUGAGGUAAUGGCUCACCAAGGCUAUGACGCCUAACUGGUUUGAGAGGAUGAUCAGUCACACUGGAACUGAGACACGGUCCAGACUCCUACGGGAGGCAGCAGUGGGGAAUAUUGCACAAUGGACGAAAGUCUGAUGCAGCAACGCCGCGUGGAGGAUGACACAUUUCGGUGCGUAAACUCCUUUUAUAUGAGAAGAAAAUGACGGUAUCAUAUGAAUAAGCGCCGGCUAACUCCGUGCCAGCAGCCGCGGUAAUACGGAGGGCGCAAGCGUUACUCGGAAUCACUGGGCGUAAAGAGCGUGUAGGCGGGUAUUUAAGUUGGAAGUGAAAUCCUUUGGCUUAACCAAAGAACUGCAUUCGAAACUGCUAGACUUGAGUUUGGGAGAGGAGAGUGGAAUUCCCGGUGUAAGAGUGAAAUCUGUAGAUNUCGGGAGGAACACCAGUGGCGAAAGCGACUCUCUGGCCCAAAACUGACACUGAAAUACGAAAGCUAUGGGAGCAAACAGGAUUAGAUACCCUGGUAGUCAUAGCCGUAAACGAUGAGCACUAGGUGUGGGAUCCUUUGGAUUCUGCGCCGCAGUUAACACAUUAAGUGCUCCACCUGGGGACUACGGCCGCAAGGUUGAAACUCAAAGAAAUUGACGGGGACCCGCACAAGCGGUGGAGCAUGUGGUUUAAUACGACGCUACGCGUGGAACCUUACCAGGGCUUGAAAAGUGCAUGAAAUCCAGAUGAAAGUUUGGACCUCCUUUCCGGGACAUGCAUACAGGUGUUGCAUGGCUGUCGUCAGCUCGUGUCGUGAGAUGUUGGGUUAAGUCCCGCAACGAGCGCAACCAUCGUCCUUAGUUGCCAUCAGUUCGGCUGGGCACUCUAGGGAGACUGCCGGCGAUAAGCUGGAGGAAGGUGGAGAUGACGUCAAGUCAGUACGGCCCUUACGUCCUGGGCUACACACGUGCUACAAUGGUCAAUACAAUGGGCUGCAAUAUCGUAAGAUGGAGCUAAUCCUAAAAGUUGACCUCAGUUCGAAUUGAGGGCUGCAACUCGCCCUCAUGAAGUUGGAAUCGCUAGUAAUGGUACAUCAGCCACGGUACCGUGAAUACGUUCCCGGGUCUUUUACACACCGCCCGUCAAGUCACCUGAGUUGACUGCACCCGAAGUCGCUGGCCUAACCUGCAAGGGGAGGAGGCGCCGAAGGUGUGGUUGGCAAGGAGGACUAAGUCGUAAGCAAGGUAACCA
This 1487-nucleotide ribosomal RNA is filed under the name uncultured bacterium. Its description in RNAcentral is "partial 16S ribosomal RNA". It matches the Rfam family "Bacterial small subunit ribosomal RNA". The record is from RNAcentral.